UACGGAGGGGGCUAGCGUUGUUCGGAAUUACUGGGCGUAAAGCGCGCGUAGGCGGAUCUGCAAGUCGGGGGUGAAAUCCCGAGGCUCAACCUCGGAACUGCCUUCGAUACUGCGGGUCUCGAGUCCGGGAGAGGUGAGUGGAAUUCCUAGUGUAGAGGUGAAAUUCGUAGAUAUUAGGAAGAACACCAGUGGCGAAGGCGGCUCACUGGCCCGGUACUGACGCUGAGACGCGAAAGCGUGGGGAGCGAAUAGG
This 253-nucleotide ribosomal RNA is filed under the name uncultured bacterium. RNAcentral's name for it is "partial 16S ribosomal RNA". It matches the Rfam family "Bacterial small subunit ribosomal RNA", at positions 524 to 776 of the family's 1533-position model. The record is from RNAcentral.